Long non-coding RNA from Hypomesus transpacificus, 440 nucleotides. RefSeq lists it as uncharacterized. The record is from RefSeq and is a predicted model, not a curated record. The transcript is spliced from 3 exons. Lineage: Eukaryota; Metazoa; Chordata; Actinopteri; Osmeriformes; Osmeridae.
GCAGUGGUGGGGCGGCGCCCUAGCGCCCUCUAUGAGCCGGCCGCUGCUGGUUUGCCCCAAUAACGGAUUCACCAGGAAAUCAUCAGCAAAGAAGACAACCUUCCUUCGUGACAACAACUUACGCUUUGCUGAGGACUUAUCAACUGAGGACAGAGAAAAGUCAAAUAAAUUUCGGCCAGCAGUAGAAAAAGCUCGUGUCUUCAUGUACAUCAGGAGAUGUAGAACGGGCACUCCAUGAUGGGGAGGCCACAGGAAGUGUUUCGGAAUGAGAAGCUCCAGGAAGUGGUGCUGGCAGGGGCAAGGCCACAGAAAGUGGUUCUGGCAGGGGCAAGGCCACAGGAAGUGGUUCUGGCAGGGGCAAGGCCACAGGAUGUGGUGCCGGCAGCAGCAAGGCCACAGGUGUGGGGUUGUUUGUGGAAGCAGUCUGUAAAGGAUCAAGU